CCUACGGGCGGCAGCAGUGAGGAAUAUUGGUCAAUGGACGAGAGUCUGAACCAGCCAAGUAGCGUGAAGGAUGACUGCCCUCUGGGUUGUAAACUUCUUUUAUAUGGGAAUAAGAUGUUCCACGUGUGGGAUUUUGUAUGUACCAUAUGAAUACGGAUCGGCUAACUCCGUGCCAGCAGCCGCGGUAAUACGGAGGAUCCGAGCGUUAUCCGGAUUUAUUGGGGUUAAAGGGGGCGUAGGUGGAUUGUUAAGUCAGUUGUGAAAGUUUGCGGCUCAACCGCAAAAGUGCAGUUGAAACUGGGAGUCGUGAGUACAGUAGGGGCGGGCGGAAUUCGUGGGGUAGCGGUGAAAUGCGUAGAUAUCACGAAGAACACCGAUUGUGAAGGCAGCUCACUGGACUGCAACUGACACUGAGGCUCGAAAGUGUGGGGAGCAAACAGGAUUAGAUACCCGAGUAGUC
This 460-nucleotide ribosomal RNA is filed under the name uncultured bacterium. RNAcentral's name for it is "partial 16S ribosomal RNA". It matches the Rfam family "Bacterial small subunit ribosomal RNA", at positions 338 to 795 of the family's 1533-position model. The record is from RNAcentral.